This 468-nucleotide ribosomal RNA is filed under the name uncultured bacterium. RNAcentral describes it as "partial 16S ribosomal RNA". It matches the Rfam family "Bacterial small subunit ribosomal RNA", at positions 28 to 507 of the family's 1533-position model. The record is from RNAcentral.
GACGAACGCUGGCGGCGUGCUUAAUACAUGCAAGUCGAACGGUAAGGCCCUGAUUUUGCGGGGUGCUCGAGUGGCGAAAGGGGGUGUAAAACGCGAGUAAACUGUCCUUGACUUUGGGAUAAAUCUAGGAAACUGGGGAUCUUAUACGACAUGAGAUCCUGCUGCAUGGUGGGGGUUGGAAAGUUGCGGCGUUUCGGCACGAAAAGGCGGUUUAUCAGCUUGUUGGUGGGGAGGUGGCUUAACAAGGCACUGACGGGUCGCCAGCCUGGGAGGGUGACCGGCCACAGUGGGACUGGGAUACGGGCCGGACUCCUACGGGAGGCAGCAGUGGGGAAUAGUGCGCGAUGGGCGGAAGCCUGAUGCAGCAACUCCGCGUGCGGGAUGACGGCCGUCGGUUUGUAAACCGCUUUCGCCUGUAACGAAGCGUGAGUGACGGUAAUGUGUAAGGAAGCACCGGCUAACUACGUG